Small nucleolar RNA from Ailuropoda melanoleuca (giant panda), 131 nucleotides. Ensembl annotates it as small nucleolar RNA, H/ACA box 31. NCBI's taxonomy places the organism in Eukaryota, Metazoa, Chordata, Mammalia, Carnivora, Ursidae. The record is from Ensembl.
CUGCAUCCACUGAUAGACCUUGAACAGUUGGCUGUUGUUCUUUUGGUUUGCACUAGGAUGCGAGAGAAAAAAAAUCCCUGCGCUUUCUGUCUGUCUCUGUGGCAGCCCAGAUUGAAGAGGGGAAUACAUCU